ACUUGAAUCUAAAGAAAAUGUUUGUGCAAGUUUUAGCUGUUUUGGUUCAGUAAUUCUUGAGAAUACAUUUCAAACACCCCACCCUAUGUUCACUGUAAAAAAGAAAUGUAGGCAUCCUCUCUACCCACAGAUGCCUUGUGUCAAGUUUAGUUGAAAUUGGUCCAGUUUUUCUUGAGAAGAAAAGUUUACGACAGACGGAGACACACAAAAGGAGGAUCAAGAUUGUGCUGGCAUAAAGACUGGGGAGUUUGUUUAACAGGCAGGAUUCUAUCAUAGCUGUUGACAAAUCAUCAAUCAACGAAGAACCUACCAAUCACACAACAAUGACCAACUGUUGAAAACUCGGGAGAAAACAAAGAUAUGGUCGACAUAGUCCUCCACAUCUCCUGAUUAAACCAUUGACUGAAGAGUUUUAAUCUUACAAGCUGAUUAAACCUGUAUUGAUUUUUGGUGCAACGCAGCCCUACAACUUUACAAUCAUCGACAAAUGUUUAUUCAAAGAUAAAUGGACCAAACUUUUUCACUUUUCCACUUGAAGUUAAUCCAAAUUUUCAAACAAAAUUAUAUGGAGGUUCCCACAUUUCCCCGGACUCUCUUCGGUUUUGUCUGCUCUGGUUUGUAAACACGUCACUUGACGCUGAAAACCAGCACUAUUGCUUCUAUGUUUCCUCGGAAUGCCGACAGUCGUGUGGAAGAAAUAUUUGCACUCUGGUGAAAAAUGAAGUCUUAAAUGCACACUAACAGGAAAACACGACCAAAUGCAGCACCUCAGGCUUCACCUAUGGUGUUACCCUAUCUGGGGACUCCAUUAAAGUGUAUUGUACACCUGCCUCUGAUGGACUUUGAAUUUCUUGAAAGAACAAUUACUGCUAAGGAUACUUAUUCUCAGUUUGUUUGUUUUUUUAUUUCAGAAUCAAAACUCCAAUCCGCACCUAAGGUUAUAAUCAUUACAUUAAUACUGAUCAUUAAAGUUAUAAAAAUAACCCCGUGUAAUUCUUCACCAUGUCCUGGCAAUACUGUGCAUUUAAUGACUUUUCAAUAACCAAGAAUCCACAGACAAAGUCUCAAAUUUGUCUGUCUCUGAUUACGCCUGCUCUCUGACCCGGGGAGUUCCCAGAAUUCCACACAUCCCGGUUACACACCGGCUCUCCCGACACAGUUCUGGGUAGCGUGUUCAAGAUUGGUAUUCUAUGGCUUGGACAAGUGGACAUUAAGAGCUACCAAGAAUUCCACGAACCUGAUCUGUCGCCACGAUCUCAUCAAGGGGAGAUUAAAACAUGUCAGCAGAAGUACCCGUGAUCAAAGGCGAGAAAUAGUGUAUUUUGAAUUCAGAUUUUGGCUGUCUUUUUCUCCGUCGUGGGUCCGUUAUCAAUGGAUGUGUCAUUUCUGAUCAAUCUCUUCUAGUCGUCCCCCCUGCUCUGUCCUAUUACCUAAUCUUUUCCCUGGUCUCAUGUACUAUUAUAAUAUUUGUCAUCAAUCUGCCAUUCAUCUCAAGUGUCCUACCACUGGGAAACUGAGAUAACAUAUUCUUAUCAUGAGAUUUACUGCUUUACAAUCUUAAUUAUGUCUAUUGUUUUAAACUUUUAACACACAUAUUAAUGAUGGUUGCCUCAUUCAAAAACUGUAUUUCUUAGUGGAAGAAAGUCUGAGUUAAAACACCCUUCAUAGUGAUCCAUCAAUUUCAUUAAAGCAGAGCAUUACAACAUUCCAUUGAUAGAACUGAUUUUUGCAAUGACUGAUCUAAGACCAUAUGCAACUUACCAAGACAACUAUCAUGGAAAGACAUGGAAGUUUGCACAUACAACAUGUGAUUUUAAAAUGAAUAAUUUGGUCAUUAAGCACUGCACCCCAGACAAGAAAUAAACAAGAGCAAAGCAAGCCAUCAGCACAUAGAAAAUUAAGAAAACAUCUUCAAAGAGAGGAAUUCAUUGAAAUCCAGUUCUUGAAAGUCUGUAGAGAGAGAGAUAGGUCCUAAUGACUGUCAACUGAGGAAACACACCUGGUAGUGCGAGAUCCUGGUCAUGGGAAACCCUGGAGAGGUUCUGAGACAGUAUUAGGUAGUUAAUCAACUGAAGAAAACAUUCAGAGAUUCCAAGACAGCAUCAGGUAGUUAAUUGAUUGUAAAAAAAACUUAAAGAAUUUCUUUUAUCCUAGGUCAGAACUCAAGAACUUGAAAUUACCGAAAAGAAAAUCCAUCCAUC
This is a long non-coding RNA of Ostrea edulis (European flat oyster), 2201 nucleotides long. RefSeq lists it as uncharacterized. The transcript is spliced from 2 exons. NCBI's taxonomy places the organism in Eukaryota, Metazoa, Mollusca, Bivalvia, Ostreida, Ostreidae. The record is from RefSeq and is a predicted model, not a curated record.